AGCUCACCUAGGCGACGAUCCCUAGCUGGUCUGAGAGGAUGACCAGCCACACUGGAACUGAGACACGGUCCAGACUCCUACGGGAGGCAGCAGUGGGGAAUAUUGCACAAUGGGCGCAAAGCCUGAUGCAGCCAUGCCGCGUGUGUGAAGAAGGCCUUAGGGUUGUAAAGCACUUUCAGCGAGGAGGAAGGGGUUCAGUGUUAAUAGCACUGAGCAUUGACGUUACUCGCAGAAGAAGCACCGGCUAACUCCGUGCCAGCAGCCGCGGUAAUACGGAGGGUGCAAGCGUUAAUCGGAAUUACUGGGCGUAAAGCGCACGCAGGCGGUUUGUUAAGUCAGAUGUGAAAUCCCCGAGCUUAACUUGGGAAC
This 369-nucleotide ribosomal RNA is filed under the name uncultured bacterium. Its description in RNAcentral is "bacterial SSU rRNA". It matches the Rfam family "Bacterial small subunit ribosomal RNA", at positions 262 to 621 of the family's 1533-position model. The record is from RNAcentral.